This 514-nucleotide ribosomal RNA is filed under the name uncultured bacterium. RNAcentral's name for it is "partial 16S ribosomal RNA". It matches the Rfam family "Bacterial small subunit ribosomal RNA", at positions 28 to 523 of the family's 1533-position model. The record is from RNAcentral.
GACGAACGCUGGCGGCGUGCCUAAUACAUGCAAGUCGAGCGAACCCGGGGUGCUUGCACCCUGAGGGUUAGCGGCGGACGGGUGAGUAACACGUGGGGAACCUGCCUUGCUGUCUGGGAUAACACCGGGAAACCGGUGCUAAUACCGGAUGUCCCCUUUCCGGCACCUGCCGGAGAGGGAAAAGGCGGCUUUGAGCCGCCGCAGCAAGAGGGGCCCGCGGCGCAUUAGUUAGUUGGCAGGGUAACGGCCUCCCAAGGCGACGAUGCGUAGGCGACCGGAGAGGGUGAUCGGCAACACUGGGACUGAGACACGGCCCAGACUCCUACGGGAGGCAGCAGUAGGGAAUCAUCCGCAAUGGACGAAAGUCUGACGGUGCAACGCCGCGUGAGUGAUGAAGGUUUUCGGAUCGUAAAGCUCUGUUGUGAGGGAAGAAUAGGAUGGGGAGGAAAUGCCCGAUCUGUGACGGUACCUCACCAGAAAGCCCCGGCUAACUACGUGCCAGCCGCCGCAGUAA